ACAAGCAUCGUUAAAUGGUUAGGAUGUCUGCCUUCCAAGCAGAGAAUGUCGGUUCGAGUCCGACUGCUUGUACC
RNAcentral lists this transfer RNA (74 nucleotides) under Neurospora crassa. RNAcentral describes it as "Gly-tRNA". It matches the Rfam family "tRNA". Rfam says of the family: Transfer RNA (tRNA) molecules are approximately 80 nucleotides in length. The record is from RNAcentral. Lineage: Eukaryota; Fungi; Ascomycota; Sordariomycetes; Sordariales; Sordariaceae.